ACAAAACGACUCUCGGCAACGGAUAUCUAGGCUCUCGCAUCGAUGAAGAACGUAGCAAAAUGCGAUACUUGGUGUGAAUUGCAGAAUCCCGUGAACCAUCGAGUUUUUGAACGCAAGUUGCGCCCGAAGCCAUUAGGUUGAGGGCACGUCUGCCUGGGCGUCUCAUUA
RNAcentral lists this ribosomal RNA (168 nucleotides) under Primula sikkimensis. RNAcentral describes it as "5.8S ribosomal RNA". It matches the Rfam family "5.8S ribosomal RNA". From Rfam's summary of the family: 5.8S ribosomal RNA (5.8S rRNA) is a component of the large subunit of the eukaryotic ribosome. It is transcribed by RNA polymerase I as part of the 45S precursor that also contains 18S and 28S rRNA. Lineage: Eukaryota; Viridiplantae; Streptophyta; Magnoliopsida; Ericales; Primulaceae. The record is from RNAcentral.